GGAGGCGUAUUCGGCCUGGUGGCCGGCGCGGUCUUCAAAACCGUUGAACGGCAGGAACUGUCGUUGGCGGGUUCGAUUCCCGUCCGCCUCCGCCA
This 95-nucleotide transfer RNA is filed under the name Pseudonocardiaceae bacterium. RNAcentral describes it as "tRNA-Sec". It matches the Rfam family "Selenocysteine transfer RNA". Lineage: Bacteria; Bacillati; Actinomycetota; Actinomycetes; Pseudonocardiales; Pseudonocardiaceae. The record is from RNAcentral.